GAAUUCACAAAGGAGGUUUAGAUUUAACCCAGGCUAAAUCGCGUCAUAAUACGUCAUAACCCCGAGCUUUAGACCAUGGGUCAUUAUUUUGGUAUUCACAAAGGAAGUUUAGAUUUAACCCAGGCUAAAUCGCGUCAUAUUACGUCAUAUUUUUAGCCUGCUCAGAAGGGUGGUUUAAACAGCGGGCUAAAUCUAACCCACGGUUUAACCCACGGUUUAACGCGUCAUAUGACGUCAUACCAGCGAGCUUUGGCUUUUUAGCGCAGACGACCGUACAAAUUUUGUUGACAAAUUUGUGGUGAAACAAAGUGAAGAGACCUUCACAAAGUUGCUGUUUUUUCAACUUUGAUAGCCUACAUUAGACAGCAUGGCUGAAUAUAUUCCCCAUCUCCGCCAGCUUGAUCGGAACAGAGAGUUAAUAGGCAGACCUCAGAGAGGCCUUCGUGACCCAUGAACCCUUUUGAAGUGUAUGAUGACGAGUCAUUUCGGACCAGGUACUGGUUUUCCAAAGAGACAGCGCUCUACCUCAUCAACUUGGUGGAUGAAGAGCUGAGGAGGACGACAGACAGAAACGACCCAAUACCUAUACAGGUAGUGACAGCACUUCGAUUCUAUGCUGUUGGGUCAUUCAAAAAGAUGCAUGGUGAUGAGGCACAACUUUCACAUUCUUCUGUAUGCAGAGUCAUCAAAGACGUGUCAGAAGCGUUUGCAAGAAGAAGGAAACAAUUCAUGAAGUUCCCAACAUCAAGAGAAGAAGUAGAAGCAACACAGCAGCAGUUCUACCAAUACUGCAGGUUGCCAGGUUUUCUCCUGGUGGAGAUCAAGC
Strongylocentrotus purpuratus (purple sea urchin) is the source of this 826-nucleotide long non-coding RNA. RefSeq lists it as uncharacterized. Lineage: Eukaryota; Metazoa; Echinodermata; Echinoidea; Camarodonta; Strongylocentrotidae. The transcript is spliced from 3 exons. The record is from RefSeq and is a predicted model, not a curated record.